This 581-nucleotide ribosomal RNA is filed under the name Pseudomonas sp. HRRK105. Its description in RNAcentral is "bacterial SSU rRNA". It matches the Rfam family "Bacterial small subunit ribosomal RNA", at positions 102 to 680 of the family's 1533-position model. The record is from RNAcentral. Lineage: Bacteria; Pseudomonadati; Pseudomonadota; Gammaproteobacteria; Pseudomonadales; Pseudomonadaceae.
ACGGGUGAGUAAUGCCUAGGAAUCUGCCUGGUAGUGGGGGACAACGUUUCGAAAGGAACGCUAAUACCGCAGACGUCCUACGGGAGAAAGCACGGGACCUUCUGGCCUUGCGCUAUCGAAUGAGCCUAGGUCGGAUUAGCUAGUUGGUGAGGUAAUGGCUCACCAAGGCGACCAUCCGUAACUGGUCUGAGAGGAUGAUCAAUCACACUGGAACUGAGACACGGUCCAGACUCCUACAGGAGGCAGCAGUGGGGAAUAUUGGACAAUGGGCGAAAGCCUGAUCCAGCCUUGCCGCGUGUGUGAAGAGGUCUUCGUAUUGUAAAGCACUUUAAGUUGGGAGGAAGGGUUGUAGAUUAAUACUCUGCAAUUUUGACGUUACCGACAGAAUAAGCACCGGCUAACUCUGUGCCAGCAGCCGCGGUAAUACAGAGGGUGCAAGCGUUAAUCGGAAUUACUGGGCGUAAAGCGCGCGUAGGUGGUUUGUUAAGUUGGAUGUGAAAUCCCCGGGCUCAACCUGGGAACUGCAUCCAAAACUGGCAAGCUAGAGUAUGGUAGAGGGUGGUGGAAUUUCCUGUGUAGCG